UUUCCGUAGGUGAACCUGCGGAAGGAUCAUUACUGUGUUUUGCGGUUGGGCUCGCCCGACCCCGCACACCCCCUGUGUACCGUCACCGGUUGCUUCGGCGGGCCGCUGGCCUCAGCCGCCGCCCCCCCGCGGGCGGCGUGUCGCCCGCCGAUGGACCUUUGAACCCUGGCUUUUGCAGUGAUGUCCGAGCCAUAUACGAGAAAUCGCAUAAAACUUUCAACAACGGAUCUCUUGGUUCCAGGAUCGAUGAAGAACGCAGC
Molecule: unclassified non-coding RNA, 260 nt
Filed under: uncultured fungus
Lineage: Eukaryota; Fungi
Description: sequence contains ITS1, 5.8S rRNA gene
Rfam family: 5.8S ribosomal RNA (bases 212-260)
Source: RNAcentral